RNAcentral lists this ribosomal RNA (565 nucleotides) under Lecanicillium sp. 7 XC-2016. Its description in RNAcentral is "eukaryotic LSU rRNA". The stretch from base 158 to 311 matches the Rfam family "5.8S ribosomal RNA". Lineage: Eukaryota; Fungi; Ascomycota; Sordariomycetes; Hypocreales; Cordycipitaceae. The record is from RNAcentral.
UGUGACAUACCAAUCGUUGCUUCGGCGGACUCGUCCCAGCGUCCGGGUGGCCUUGCGCCGCCCGCGGCCUGGAACCAGGCGACCGCCGGAGGCCAUUCAAACUCUUUGUAUUACCAGUAUCUUCUGAAUCCGCCGCAAGGCAAAACAAAUGAAUCAAAACUUUCAACAACGGAUCUCUUGGUUCUGGCAUCGAUGAAGAACGCAGCGAAAUGCGAUAAGUAAUGUGAAUUGCAGAAUUCAGUGAAUCAUCGAAUCUUUGAACGCACAUUGCGCCCGCCAGCAUUCUGGCGGGCAUGCCUGUUCGAGCGUCAUUUCAACCCUCGAGCUCCCCUUGGGGAGCCCGGCGUUGGGGACCGGCCUCUACCGCCGACCCCGAAAUACAGUGGCGGCCCCGUCACGGCGACCUCUGCGUAGUAACUCAACCUCGCACCGGAAACCCGACGUGGCCACGCCGUAAAACACCCCACUUCUGAACGUUGACCUCGGAUCAGGUAGGAAUACCCGCUGAACUUAAGCAUAUCAAUAAGCGGAGGAAAAGAAACCAACAAGGAUUCCCCUAGUAACA